This 196-nucleotide ribosomal RNA is filed under the name uncultured bacterium. RNAcentral describes it as "partial 16S ribosomal RNA". It matches the Rfam family "Bacterial small subunit ribosomal RNA", at positions 328 to 539 of the family's 1533-position model. The record is from RNAcentral.
ACGCUCGACACCUGGGAGGCAGCAGUGGGGAAUAUUGCACAAUGGGGGAAACCCUGAUGCAGCGACGCCGCGUGAGUGAAGAAGUAUUUCGGUAUGUAAAGCUCUAUCAGCAGGGAAGAAGAUGACGGUACCUGAGUAAGAAGCCCCGGCUAACUACGUGCUAGCAGCCGCGGUAAUCUGAGCGGGCUGGCAAGGC